Molecule: ribosomal RNA, 463 nt
Filed under: uncultured bacterium
Lineage: Bacteria
Description: partial 16S ribosomal RNA
Rfam family: Bacterial small subunit ribosomal RNA
Source: RNAcentral
GACGAACGCUGGCGGCGUGCUUAACACAUGCAAGUCGAACGGUGAACCUCUUCGGAGGGGUUCAGUGGCGAACGGGUGGGUAACACGUGGGCAACCUGCCCCCGGCUCUGGGAUAACUCCAAGAAAUUGGGGCUAAUACUGGAUGUUCACCGCUUCCCGCGUGGGUGGUGGUGCAAAGGGUUUCCGGCUGGGGAUGGGUCCGCGGCCGAUCAGCUUGUUUGUGGGGUAGUGGCCUUCCAAGGCCACGACGGGUAGCCGGCCUGGGAGGGGGACCGGCCACACUGGGACUGAGGGACGGCCCAGAGUGCUACGGGGGGCAGCAGUGGAGAAUCUUGCGCAAUGGGCGGGAGUCUGACGCGGCGACGCCGCGUGGGGGAUGACGGCCUUCGGGUUGUAAACCUCUUUAAGCAGGGACGAUGCGGAAGUGACGGUACCUGCAGAAGAAGCACCGGCCAACUACGUG